UAGAGUUUGAUCCUGGCUCAGAUUGAACGCUGGCGGCAGGCUUAACACAUGCAAGUCGAACGGUAGCAGGAGAAAGCUUGCUUUCUUGCUGACGAGUGGCGGACGGGUGAGUAAUGCUUAGGAAUCUGGCUUAUGGAGGGGGAUAACUACGGGAAACUGUAGCUAAUACCGCGUAGUGUCGAGAGACGAAAGUGCGGGACCGCAAGGCCGCAUGCCAUGAGAUGAGCCCAAGUGGGAUUAGGUAGUUGGUGGGGUAAAGGCCUACCAAGCCUGCGAUCUCUAGCUGGUCUGAGAGGAUGGCCAGCCACACUGGAACUGAGACACGGUCCAGACUCCUACGGGAGGCAGCAGUGGGGUUUUUUGCGCAGUGGGGGGUNCCCUGNCGCAGCCCUGCCGCGUGUNUGNNGNUGGCCUUCGGGUUGUNNUGUUCUUUCGGUNUUGNGGGAGGUUGNUGUGUUNNUUGUNCCUCNNNUUGNCGUUUUNUCCCGUNGUGGCGCCGGCUNNCUCCGUGCCNGCCGCCGCGGUNNUUCGGNGGGUGCGCGCGUUCCUCGGUUUNUCUGGGCGUNNNGGGCCCGCCGGCGGUUUUUUGUGUGUGGUGUGGGAGCCCCGGGCUUCCCCUGGGCNUUGCCUUUCCGNCUGGGUUCUUUGCGUUCUUUAGGGAGGGGUUGUUUUCCUCGUGUGGCGGUGAAAGGCGUAGAGAUGGGGAGGAAUACCGGUGGCGGGGGCUGCCCCUUGGGAAUGUACUGCGGCUCUUGUGCGGGGGCGUGGGGAGCAAACAGGGAUUAGAUACCCUGGUAGUCCACGCUGUAAACGCUGUCGAUUUGGGGAAUUGGGCUUAGAGCUUGGUGCCCGUAGCUAACGUGAUAAAUCGACCGCCCGGGGAGUACGGCCGCAAGGUUAAAACUCAAAUGAAUUGACGGGGGCCCGCACAAGCGGUGGAGCAUGUGGUUUAAUUCGAAGCAACGCGAAGAACCUUACCAGGUCUUGACAUCCCUCUGACCGCUCUAGAGAUAGAGUUUUCCUUCGGGACAGAGGUGACAGGUGGUGCGUGGUUGUCGUCAGCUCGUGUCGUGAGAUGUUGGGUUAAGUCCCGCAACGAGCGCAACCCCUAUUGUUAGUUGCCAUCAUUCAGUUGGGCACUCUAGCGAGACUGCCGGUAAUAAACCGGAGGAAGGUGGGGAUGACGUCAAAUCAUCAUGCCCCUUAUGACCUGGGCUACACACGUGCUACAAUGGCUGGUACAACGAGUCGCAAGCCGGUGACGGCAAGCUAAUCUCUUAAAGCCAGUCUCAGUUCGGAUUGUAGGCUGCAACUCGCCUACAUGAAGUCGGAAUCGCUAGUAAUCGCGGAUCAGCACGCCGCGGUGAAUACGUUCCCGGGCCUUGCACACACCGCCCGUCA
This 1401-nucleotide ribosomal RNA is filed under the name uncultured bacterium. Its description in RNAcentral is "partial 16S ribosomal RNA". It matches the Rfam family "Bacterial small subunit ribosomal RNA". The record is from RNAcentral.